This 497-nucleotide ribosomal RNA is filed under the name uncultured bacterium. RNAcentral describes it as "partial 16S ribosomal RNA". It matches the Rfam family "Bacterial small subunit ribosomal RNA", at positions 28 to 507 of the family's 1533-position model. The record is from RNAcentral.
GAUGAACGCUGGCGGCGUGCCUAAUACAUGCAAGUCGAGCGAACGGACGAGAAGCUUGCUUCUCUUAUGUUAGCGGCGGACGGGUGAGUAACACGUGGAUAACCUACCUAUAAGACUGGGAUAACUUCGGGAAACCGGAGCUAAUACCGGAUAAUAUUUUGAACCGCAUGGUUCAAAAGUGAAAGACGGUCUUGCUGUCACUUAUAGAUGGAUCCGCGCUGCAUUAGCUAGUUGGUAAGGUAACGGCUUACCAAGGCAACGAUGCAUAGCCGACCUGAGAGGGUGAUCGGCCACACUGGAACUGAGACACGGUCCAGACUCCUACGGGAGGCAGCAGUAGGGAAUCUUCCGCAAUGGGCGAAAGCCUGACGGAGCAACGCCGCGUGAGUGAUGAAGGUCUUCGGAUCGUAAAACUCUGUUAUUAGGGAAGAACAUAUGUGUAAGUAACUGUGCACAUCUUGACGGUACCUAAUCAGAAAGCCACGACUAACUACGUG